UUUCUCUUCCCCCAUUCUUCACGCCAUUUCCCUUCUCUCUAUUCCUCUCUCUCGAAAAUUCUCAAUUCCGUCGCCUUCACCAACAAUCGGGUUCCGAUUUCCCCCAAAUCCCGUCGCCUUCCGUCGCUGCUCACCGCCGUCGUCCCAUCCCGUCGAGGCCGCCAUCGCAGUUGUUCCUUUGUCGAUUAAUCGCCGAUGCCGGGAGGAGUUUCGCUGCAGGCGCUGAUGUCGUCGCUGCCUCGCGAACCCCGUCCCGGUUUCAGACCGGUGUCACCGCCGUCUCGCCCAAACGCUGCUGCUCGCCGACGGGGUCAGGGCCACCCCCGCUGUUCCACAACAGAAACUGCCGCUGCAGCGAGAAGGGAGGACGGUCGCCGCUCCGCCGCUGCUCUGUUCGGUUGCCCCCGAAACACUCCAAAUCAGCCCCGAACAGACACCGCGCAGCCCCGAACAACUCCAAACAGCCCUGAAACAUCCCGAACCCAACCCGAACAGCCCCACACAACCCCGAGAGAUAAGUUCUCUUUUACAAACUUAUGUUCUUUUUCGCAUUUUCGAUUAAUUACGGGGGGGUGUUGGAUUGUUUGAGAAUGAUUGAUUUGUUUGAUCGGUGUUACUUGUGUGGGAGAUUGAUGUGUUGAUGAUAUGCUAUGUAUAACAAAGAUCACAAGGGAAGGGAUUUAUACCUUCUAUGCUAUGAACUUGACCGUGAGGUUUGUAGGCUGAAAAGGGAGACUCCUUGAACUUGGCAGAUUAAAUUUCACAUCUGGAAUUGAAUUGAGAAUUUGGCAGCUCUUCAAAUUCUCGCUUUCUGUCGUGAAUCCGUGACUUGUAGUGAAUUAAAGAUGGAAGAUGAAGAAGUUUGAAAUUGGAGAGUCUCCAUAGAAGGGGUAUCGGCCAAGAGGGAGAAGGAAGAAGAAAAGGAUUUUGGGCUUGCAAAAGAAAUUCUUUGAAGAAAUUGGGCUCAAAAUCUAUCUCCCACAUUUUAUUUAUUUGUUGAAGUUCAUAGGCCCAAAAUGAUUUAUUUUGUUGUAAAUAAAUCAAGCCCAAAGCCAAAUUGUAAAAAUAAAACAUUGGACUUUCUUUAUAUUUAUUUGGAUCGGCCCAAGUUCUUAUU
Molecule: long non-coding RNA, 1117 nt
Organism: Salvia splendens (bonfire salvia)
Lineage: Eukaryota; Viridiplantae; Streptophyta; Magnoliopsida; Lamiales; Lamiaceae
Exons: 2
Source: RefSeq, a predicted model, not a curated record